ACCUGUUAACAAAUGGAUUUCAGUAGUUGUUCCCUUUUUCUUUUUAAAUCUUGUUCCAAUUAAUGUUAACUUAUUUGAUAUUUGGAAUUGGAAAAAGUACCUUUUUAGGUGCUGGUUGAAGAGCAAUCCUAGCCCUUGUGAUGAUACCAAACUGGCCUAGUCCUCCUAGUACACCAUAGAACAGGUGUUGAUUGGUACUCUAUUGAAUAAAAUAGAAAAAAUGGGAAACUGAUAUUGUGGAACUGGGGAACAGUGAGCAUGUUGUGCAUGAACAUACCAGUGACAACUUCAAGUUGGUAGACGUUAUUGGUCUGAGGUCCAUGUUUGAAUGCUUGCCCGCUGAUUCCGGCAUUCGACAAAGUGCCUCCGACUGUGAGAUACAUCAACAAAAGGCAGUUCCCCUGUGUGGAAACGCAUCACUGGUGCUCGAAGCGAUUCCAUGCUGAUUAUUACUCCUUUGUAAGCUUGAGCUUGGCCUUCUACAGAAUGACCAUGGCCUCUAGCAGCAACGGUUAGGUAAUCUUUGUUGCUUGGACACUUACCGCCGAGUGCUUUUCGGAUUCUCCAAAAGUAGUAAGUUUUUGGAGGAUCCAACAUGAGUGUGGCUACAUUUUUGGAGAGUCCGAGCAACAUAGCAGGUAACUUGCCUUAUUUGCCUCAUUUUAUCGCCUGCUAAUCCUCCUUUUAGACGAGCUGAUUGAGUACGGUCUCGGUGUAUGAAAGUCAAGACUUUUUUAUAACAAUCCUUUAUAACGACACUUCACUGUAAUAGUCAAGUCCUUUUUUUGGAACCGAUUUGUCAUGUUAUAUUAUAUGUUCUUUAUAGCGAUAAUUCGUCAUAGCAGUCAAAAAAUAGCCGGACAACAACGCCCUUAUGAGGAGGUUUAUCUGUUAAGACACUUCAACUUUUCCAUGGGAUCUACUGAUAAUGUCAGGGAUCUGUUUCUUGAUGGAGAGGGUUUGGAGAUGGGAGGCCCCUACCAAGUCACCUGUUGUUAGGUCUGAUAAGUAUGGCCUGAGUUGAAAAAAGAGUGAGAGAUCAGGCUUAGUGGUGGUCCUGAGCUUGUCACUUUGGAAAUUAUUUUUACAUUCUUUUUGGUGAUGAAAGUUUGGAGAAAUGACGUGUGAAAGAAAAGAUAUGUUUGCUGCUCAAAAUGUUUUUAUUUUGAACUUUCUGACACAUUUGCAUAAUAUUAAAAUGGAUUCGGUGUGUUUGAUAUGGAGGAAAAUAUUUCUCAAAGGAUAUUUUUUAACUUUCUCAUGUUUGAUUGGGUCAAAGUAUUUGAAGGACUUUUCUCUCCUCCCAAUCCUCCACCUCCAUCCUCCACAGCGUUUGCCUAAUUAUAUGCAAUUGCUUUUGUGAUCAUAUUUUCAGCUUAUUUACUUAUCAAACAACAGAAAAUAAGUAAGACGGGCAGCCUUUGUAGUGCUCGAAUAUAAAGUAAUGAAUUUUGUGCAAUGUCAACAAAGUCGUGAUGUAGUGGGACAGUUUGGAUUGUGACAACUCGGUCGGUGGGGCAACUCGAAAGAAUGGGGGACGACCUGACCCAAUUUACAUCAGAAAUCACCAACAUGAGCCAAAAUAAAAUCUUGGAUUGCGUGCUUUUAUACAGUUCGGAUACAAUAUUAUCUACUUUUGAAACAAGAAUUAAAGCAGUAAAUCUCUGAGCCCCUUAUCUUCGUGAAGGAAAAAUCAGACAAUUUGGAGGAGUUGGAUUAGUCGAGUGAGAAAGUCAACUUCAAAGUAAAUUUGUUAGGCAAAAAGUCGUAAUGACCCGUGGUCGCCUGCUUGGUGGGGGCUCCUCUUUUCCGGGUAAACGGGAGGCUCUUUUUUGCUGGUAAACGGGAAACCUAACUCUACAAAACUAAAUAUUUUUCAAGGAAAUAUAUUUUGGGAAACUUUUUUUCAUGGAAAAUAUUUUCUUCCGUGCUAAACACACCAUAGAGUAAAAGUUAUAGAACAAAAAGAAUCACAUCCAAUGAAAAAAUUAAAGAAGAAAGAAUCUAAAGGACUUAGUUUGGCAGCUUUUUGCUGGUCUAUUUAAUUUCUCUAUUAUGUCUAUGUUCUUUUUCUCAAUGAAUCUACAAAAAGACCAUCUGAAGAUU
Long non-coding RNA from Lycium barbarum (goji berry), 2106 nucleotides. RefSeq lists it as uncharacterized. Lineage: Eukaryota; Viridiplantae; Streptophyta; Magnoliopsida; Solanales; Solanaceae. The record is from RefSeq and is a predicted model, not a curated record. The transcript is spliced from 4 exons.